RNAcentral lists this long non-coding RNA (1567 nucleotides) under Stylophora pistillata. RNAcentral describes it as "uncharacterized LOC111323109". The record is from RNAcentral. Lineage: Eukaryota; Metazoa; Cnidaria; Anthozoa; Scleractinia; Pocilloporidae.
GGCGUCGUAAACAGCGCAACUAACCGCCGAUCUUGAUACCACAACAGUUGAAAAAACGGUGUUUUAAACAUCACUCGCCUUUUAGAACAUGUAAGCUCUUGUCUGACGACGUUUAAACGGAAAGAGUGCGGUAAAAGCGUCUGGAAAACGUUGAAUUGGAGACCACGUGUGACACUCAAUCAAAUGUCAAAGUGUCCUCAAUUAGCAGCACCAUGCUAAAGUUACACGACACCUGAAUAAAGUUUAUGUACUAGUGAAUACUUAGUAAUUUGACCCACAGCUUUUGUGGCCACUCAGAAAUUUGGAUUCUUGAAUUCAGAAGUUCUUCUAUAUCUGAUAUAAGGUAAGAGAGGUGCUCUUCAUCUUGUCCUUGCUGUAUUUGGGCUGGCUGUUUGAACUUGUACCUGCAUUUUGAAACAAUUCAGAGUCUUCCUGUAGUGUUUUGUUGGACUGCCCCUCCUUGUCGAAGCCACUGUCCAUCUCAUGGCAACUUUUUGUAUCAUUUGCAAGUUAGAGCAAAAGGGGAGAGAAGGAAAGUUGUUUCCAAAGCAAGAAUGUCUUACUGCGCAGAACAAAUCUUGGACUGUGUUCAUGAGAUGGGUGAGUACUAGUGUUGACCUGGGGUGCUAAGACGUGGUCCACCAGAAAACAAAGAGAAGAGUGCGAAAACUCUUUCGGAAACUGGACUGUCUUGCUGCGCACUGAUCGGAUCUUAAACUGUGUACAAGAGGUGGGUGACUAAUAAAUGAUCAGCAGUGGUAUUGGCUUCACUCAUUAAGUCUCUUCCUCAGUUUUGAUCUAAGACGCUAAGACUUGGUCCAUCAAAAAAAACAAAGGAGAAGAGUGUGAAAACUGUUUUGGAAACUGGGCUGUCUUGCUACCCUGAACGGAUCUUAAACUGUGUACAAGAGAUGGGUGACAAAACAGUUGACCAGCGAUUGAGUCAGCUUCGCCCACAAAGUCUCUUUCUCAGUCUUGAUCUGGGAGCUAAGACUUGGUCCCCAAUAGAUAAAGAGAUGUGUGUGAAAACGGUUUCGGAAACGGACUGUCUUGCUGCGCUGAACGGAUCUUGAACUGUGUACAAGAGAUAGGUGACUAAUAGCUGACCUGUAAUGGAGUCUGCUUCACCCACAAAGCCUCUUCCUCAGUCUUGAUCUGGGAUGCUAAGACUUGGUCCACCAAAAAAAACAAAGAGAAGAGUUUGAAAACGGUUUCGGAAACUGGACUGUCUUGCUGCGCUGAAUGGAUCUUGAACUGUGCACAAAUAGUUGACCACCAAUGGCAUCGGCUUCACCUAUAAAGUCUCUUCCUCAGUCUUGAUCUGGGAUGCUAAGACUGAGUCCACCAAAAAGCAAACAGAUAAGUGUGAAAACCGGUUUGCCGGUUUGAAAACUUGACUGUCUUGUUGCACUGAAGUAUCUUGAACAGUGUACGAGAGGUGGGUGACUAAUAGCUGACCCAUAAUAGAGUGAGAACUAGUGGAUUUAAAUUUAGAAUUUCGAUAUCGUCAAGUGUUAAACAGACCUGUGAAAGCGAGAAAGGUAGUGUUACUGGUUUUUAUCGCAAC